AGUCUUAAUUUAUUUCAGGUACUGUCUUGCGUUUUCAAAUAUAUUCACGCAUAUAGUAGCAAUACCAGAUUUUUAUAGACAUUUCUGAUUAAUUAAUAAUUUGUUUUAUAUUAUCAAUGUCAUUUUUAUUGAGAAUGCUUUUAUAUUUUAGAUUUUUCAAAUAAUAUCGUUCAAAUGUGAUAUUAUGAAACUGAUGUUGCACGUUGUAUUUUUUCUCAUCGAACUUAUAUAUCUGAUAAUAGGCAGUAAUUUUGCGCAAGAAAUUAUAGAUUAUAAUGAUGAUGUAUACGUUGCCGUAUACGAAAAAUAUUCAUACGAUAAUAUCGUGCAUAUUCGUUCUACAGAAUAUUACAAUAAUAAACAUUGUUAUUUAAUUGAAAUAUAAAUGCGGUAAAAAUUAUUCUCAAUUUUUCGUUUACGUUUAAUUAUUAAUUUGCAUUAUGACGCAGGUACGGCGUUCCCUGGUACGUGGCUCCGAUAAAAAUACAGAAAAUGAUAAUAUUUCUAUUGCAAAGACGUACUAAAGCGUUCCAUAUACAAAUUGGUGGAAUAUUUGUAGCGUCGUUAGAAGGUGCAACUACGUUGUUGAGUGCCACAAUAUCAUAUUUCACUGUACUUUACUCUACGAGGCAGUAAUGCAAAAUACAUUAAUUAAAAAUAGAGCAAAAUAAUAUAUAAGGAUAUUAAUAAUUAAGACAGUUUUGUCUGUUAUCUUGAAAGAAGCAGAACUCAAUAGAUUAGAUAAGAUUGUAAAGAUUGUAAAAGUUGAAAAAAUACGACAUGUAAAACUAUAGUUUGUAAUAAUAAAUGGAAAAAUACAUUUUACCAGUAAUAA
Long non-coding RNA from Solenopsis invicta (red fire ant), 835 nucleotides. RefSeq lists it as uncharacterized. NCBI's taxonomy places the organism in Eukaryota, Metazoa, Arthropoda, Insecta, Hymenoptera, Formicidae. The record is from RefSeq and is a predicted model, not a curated record. The transcript is spliced from 2 exons.